This 353-nucleotide long non-coding RNA is filed under the name Lathyrus oleraceus (garden pea). RNAcentral's name for it is "Pisum sativum (pea) long non-coding RNA (PSAT_LNC021245)". The record is from RNAcentral. Lineage: Eukaryota; Viridiplantae; Streptophyta; Magnoliopsida; Fabales; Fabaceae.
UUAAUGAGAUUACGGGGUUACCCAAAACCGAAACGCAAAGGCAUAGUGUGAGAAUCUGUUAAAAUUAUUUACGGUAUUUACACCAAGAAGGAUGCUACCGCACAAGAUAAAUCGAGAUAAACACCGAAAUUCACUCCUCAAGAUCUAAAGCACAAGACAACAUAAAACAAACUGACAAAUGCAGUAAAACACGAGUUGCCGGUAUAUGCUCAAGACCAACACUAUAUUAAGCAUAACUCCAUAGUCCUAAAAGCGAAAUCAAAAUGACAUAGUUCUUUCAACCUUUCAUUGUUACUGUCAACUACCAAGCAGUGUAAUCAAAAUAGAAAUUCAAACACGAUCUACAACCAAAA